AGCGAACGCUGGCGGCAGGCCUAACACAUGCAAGUCGAACGGAUCCCUCGGGAUUAGUGGCGGACGGGUGAGUAACACGUGGGAACGUGCCCUUUGGUUCGGAACAACUCAGGGAAACUUGAGCUAAUACCGGAUGUGCCCUUCGGGGGAAAGAUUUAUCGCCAUGGAGCGGCCCGCGUCUGAUUAGCUAGUUGGUGAGGUAAAGGCUCAACAAGGCGGCGAUCAGUAGCUGGUCUGAGAGGAUGAUCAGCCACAUUGGGACUGAGACACGGCCCAAACUCCUACGGGAGGCAGCAGUGGGGAAUCUUGCGCAAUGGGCGAAAGCCUGACGCAGCCAUGCCGCGUGAAUGAUGAAGGUCUUAGGAUUGUAAAAUUCUUUCACCGGGGACGAUAAUGACGGUACCCGGAGAAGAAGCCCCGGCUAACUUCGUGCCAGCCGCCGCGGUAA
This 448-nucleotide ribosomal RNA is filed under the name uncultured bacterium. Its description in RNAcentral is "partial 16S ribosomal RNA". It matches the Rfam family "Bacterial small subunit ribosomal RNA", at positions 29 to 523 of the family's 1533-position model. The record is from RNAcentral.